RNAcentral lists this long non-coding RNA (1008 nucleotides) under Numida meleagris (helmeted guineafowl). RNAcentral's name for it is "lncRNA (ENSNMEG00000012226.1)". Lineage: Eukaryota; Metazoa; Chordata; Aves; Galliformes; Numididae. The record is from RNAcentral.
AUGCUUGCGUGGUCGCUGGGCUCAGCCCCGCUCGCUCAACAUUGCCACCCCUCACUGGGGAUUCACCACCAGGGAAGAUUUUGUCUCUGCGCUGGGGGAACAAUAACAAAGCUCUCCCCAAACCUCACUGGAAUCAGACGACCACGGGCACGCGGUGGCCGACAUCUGUUUUGCCUCAGAGCGCAGCACGGAGGCGGGCGCUGGUGGCGGAGCCACUCGCUGGAGCCAGCUCAAGCAUCACGGUGCUCGCCGGCCUGGCAAGACAAUAAAUGGAGCCUGUUUAUUUACGAUGGCCGGGCUCUAGCAGGUCGCUGGCAUGGUCUCCAAGGGCAAAGCGUUCGAAUCCCUUUCUCAGUUUUCUCCCUUCCAUCUCCCCGGGCUGCCUUCUGUUCUUUUUGUGCCUAUUCUCCCAGGAGAUCUGGUCUCGAAACAAAUAGCUCACCAGCGCUGCAGCUCUUGGUUGCAAGGUUAAAUAAGUUUAGGAGGAAAAGUACAUUUGGAGAUGGUGCUGAUCCAAAGGAAGGAGCCAAGCACGCUAUUGUCUCGAUGAGCUCAGAGCCCGCCGCGGUCAUUUCCUGGGUACAUCGGCAUGUUGGCUGGGAGCUGCAUAUAGCCGCUGCGAAGUGGAACUGGAUUAAAAAUAAAGCUGCUCUUGUGACAAAACAAACAACUGGGAAUUGGCCUCUGGGCUUCUGUUCCUGGCUUUACAAGGGAGCUCACCACAGCGGAGGAAAGGGAAGCUGCGGGAUCCACAGAGCCAGGGAGGAUGCUUGGGGUCAGGGCAGCCCUGCUGAGGGCUCCGCUGCAGUGCCAUCCUCUGCCUGGGUGCAGGAGGGACCAGGGGACCCUCUCAGCCUGGAUGUGCUGUGGGGGAGGCCUGGAGGAGCCCCCAGCUCCUUCUCCUGCUCUCUACCCCCAACCUCCUACCCCCUGGGAUCUCAGGUUGGGGGUAACACAAAGUGCUCAAGCAGCCGUUCUUACAGUGGGAUGGGAAUGAAAAUGUGCUGA